RNAcentral lists this ribosomal RNA (253 nucleotides) under uncultured bacterium. RNAcentral describes it as "partial 16S ribosomal RNA". It matches the Rfam family "Bacterial small subunit ribosomal RNA", at positions 524 to 776 of the family's 1533-position model. The record is from RNAcentral.
UACGUAGGGUGCAAGCGUUGUUCGGAAUUACUGGGCGUAAAGGGCUCGUAGGUGGCCAACUAAGUCAGACGUGAAAUCCCUCGGCUUAACCGGGGAACUGCGUCUGAUACUGGACGGCUAGAGUUUGGGAGAGGGAUGCGGAAUUCCAGGUGUAGCGGUGAAAUGCGUAGAUAUCUGGAGGAACACCGGUGGCGAAGGCGGCAUCCUGGACCAACACUGACGCUGAGGAGCGAAAGCCAGGGGAGCAAACGGG